GUAGGGUGCAAGCGUUAAUCGGAAUUACUGGGCGUAAAGCGUGCGCAGGCGGCUUUGCAAGACAGAUGUGAAAUCCCCGGGCUUAACCUGGGAACUGCAUUUGUGACUGCAUGGCUGGAGUGCGGCAGAGGGGGAUGGAAUUCCGCGUGUAGCAGUGAAAUGCGUAGAUAUGCGGAGGAACACCGAUGGCGAAGGCAAUCCCCUGGGCCCGCACUGACGCUCAUGCACGAAAGCGUGGGGAGCAAACAGGAUUAGAUACCCUGGUAGUCCACGCCCUAAACGAUGUCAACUGGUUGUUGGACGGCUUGCUGUUCAGUAACGAAGCUAACGCGUGAAGUUGACCGCCUGGGGAGUACGGCCGCAAGGUUG
RNAcentral lists this ribosomal RNA (369 nucleotides) under uncultured bacterium. RNAcentral's name for it is "bacterial SSU rRNA". It matches the Rfam family "Bacterial small subunit ribosomal RNA", at positions 527 to 896 of the family's 1533-position model. The record is from RNAcentral.